This 76-nucleotide transfer RNA is filed under the name Wenyingzhuangia heitensis. Its description in RNAcentral is "tRNA-His". It matches the Rfam family "tRNA". Rfam says of the family: Transfer RNA (tRNA) molecules are approximately 80 nucleotides in length. The record is from RNAcentral. Lineage: Bacteria; Pseudomonadati; Bacteroidota; Flavobacteriia; Flavobacteriales; Flavobacteriaceae. RNAcentral also lists the same sequence under 4 other names.
GGUGAUUGUAGUUCAGUUGGUUAGAACGCCUGAUUGUGGUUCAGGAGGUCGCCGGUUCGAAUCCGGUCUUUCACCC